RNAcentral lists this long non-coding RNA (1586 nucleotides) under Lathyrus oleraceus (garden pea). Its description in RNAcentral is "Pisum sativum (pea) long non-coding RNA (PSAT_LNC002129)". Lineage: Eukaryota; Viridiplantae; Streptophyta; Magnoliopsida; Fabales; Fabaceae. The record is from RNAcentral.
AGGUGAUGAAUGUCUCAGAAUCCUGUGGAAGAUGAAGAUUGAAGGGGAUGCCGAAGCCUGAAAGAGAGUGAGAGUUCGAGCCUCUUGCGAAAUGUGCGUUGCGUUUCUCUUUUCUAUUCUGAGAUUUUGUGAUACUGGUGGAGAGAGAUGAAUGAAUGAUGAUUGAGGAAUUUAUAGAGCCGAGAAUGGCUAACUGAAUCGGGUAAUUGUGCAGCUAUUAGGGCAAUAUUUAACUCUUUUAAAUUUCAUAAGGUAAGUUUGUUAGUAGUUAAAAUCUGUUAGAAAUCUCAGUUAUGAUUUUGGUUAGUCAACUGAAUGUUAGUUAGUCAUUGGAAAACUUCUAUUAGAUUUGUUAGUUUAUGAACUCUGUUAUGAUUUUUGUGUGAGCUGGAAAUACGUAGUUUGUGAUAUGUAAUUGAAUGGAAUCAUUUGAAUAUUAUUUGAGUUAAUUUCAAUGAAUUGGUGGUUAUUAGAUGCAGGAUAUGAUUGAGCUACUAUGAGCUGAUAGUGCAGGUUAGUUGGAUGAUGUUUGUCAGUGGAUUUUCUGUUAUGAAUGUAUGCUGGUUAGAAUUAUGAUUUUUCCACUUAUAAUUAAGUUGUGAACUAUUUCCGCAUUACUCGGCAGUUUUUUUUUUGUAUUAAGUUCAGUUAGAAAUAUGGAAUUAGCUCACUGCGUAAUUAAUUAAUUAGUGAUGGAGUGCCUUUGGAACUAUUUCGUGUUCUUGGAACUAUUUUGUGUUCUUGGAAUUAUGCAGAUGAAAAUUAAGUCGUGAUUCUACUUCUCCUUAUGCAGGGUUGAACUGAUUUUUUUUCUGUGGAAUUGAUUGUCGAUGUCGUGGCUGCUAGGAACUGAUGUAUGCUUGGAACUAGAUUGUAUUGGCUAGCCUGCAAUCUAUUGUGUUCACUUGUUGCAGUACCAUGGUUAUGAAGGUAUAUUCCGAUUGGUAUUUGUAUGUUUUGAUGUUGCUUUUGCCAUGUGGUUUGUGAGUAGAAUAUAACACUGCCUAUGUAAUGCUAAAUUGCCACUGAAUGCUGUUUGAUAGGAGAAAGAAUGCUAAUAUUUUGUUAGUCAUGUUUAUGAAUAGAUAAAUGUUAAUUGCUUUCAAUGAUGAUUUGCCUUCCUGUUGAAAUGAAAAUGUCACUGCCAGCUGGACUUCCAGAUGCAAUUUGAAGUUAAUUAGGCUAGAUAUGGCAAUGCAUCAAGUGUCAAAUGAUUACUAAAUCGUGGACUAUUUUCUUGCAGGAUGGGUCAUGUGAUUGGAUGACCAAGUGGCGAUGUAUAACACACUGGGAGAUCAAUGACGGGCUUCCCAAAUUCCAAGCUUCUUCCCUCUCGAUUCGAGCUAUCUAAUAGCAUGGGAUGGUGCCAACAUGAUGUAAUAAAAUUAGGACAUGGAUUAGCUUGUUGUUUUAUGUUGUAAUGGGAAAAAAACUCACUUAUAAUAAUUUAUGUCAAACAAUGUUUAUGUAAUGUAACUUAACUUGUGAUUCAAAAUUCAAGCAAAAUUCCACUUCUAAAUUCCACUUCCUGGUAUGAAAUGUUGUAUAACAUGUUAUGGUUUGGAAAUUGUUUUGUUGUAUUUGAA